UUUAAUGAGAGUUUGAUCCUGGCUCAGGACGAACGCUGGCGGCGUGCCUAAUACAUGCAAGUGGAACGCAUUUUGAUC
This 78-nucleotide ribosomal RNA is filed under the name Streptococcus pacificus. Its description in RNAcentral is "partial 16S ribosomal RNA". It matches the Rfam family "Bacterial small subunit ribosomal RNA", at positions 1 to 78 of the family's 1533-position model. The record is from RNAcentral. Lineage: Bacteria; Bacillati; Bacillota; Bacilli; Lactobacillales; Streptococcaceae.